CGCAACUAUUUCUUUUUUACACAAAGGAAUAAACGCGCCCCGAUCCCCAUCCCCCAAUUCUCUCCCUCUCCCUUUCCCUCGUGUGCCGCUGCCGCCGCCCUCCCCGCAGCCGCCGCCACCACUGGCUCCCAGAUGUGGCGCUGCUCUUCCCCACGGCCCUGACGGCAAGGCGGCGACAAGGAUGAGCUCCACCCGGACGAGGUCGAUGUGCCCCUGCCACACUUCCUUCUCCAUCGCGUCACCAUAUUCGGAGGAGCCACGGCUGCUGCUCGCGCAUCUGCUCCUCCCGGAGUUGUCGCCGUCGGCAGGAGGGAGUGCCGGGCCUCGCGCAAACUCGAGGACCGCCACUCCGGCGGCCCGCUGUUUCUGGCCGCCGUCCGCCUUGUUGGCCCUCUUCGUGGCUUGCCCUCUCGUGCCCCAUCCAUUCGCUACCAGUCAUGCACCAGGGUAAAGCGAAGAAAAUUGUUUCAGCACAUCAACACCCCCCCUCUUGCCUCUGUUUCUUCUGAUUUAUAUGAUUACCCCACGCGCAGAUCACCGUGUGCGACGCCGCUCUUCAGCGCAUCUGUGUGUGCAAUUUGUGUCAGUGCAGGACUUCCGGUGGCUGGACUGGGCGGAGCUAAGGACAAUACACGUACCAUGUCCUAUUUGUGCUGCUGACUACUUUUUUGACCAGUGCCGGGACCUUCCGCCGAUGCUGUCUACGGCAACUCCUCAGCUCAUUCAGGUUGCGGGGUCUGAGAUAUUACGCAUUCAGGUUGCAGAAUCUGAAACAGAUUGAUUUGUUCAUCACACCAAACAAGCAACUGAGACGGCAAGGCGUUUGGAUGAAGCUCUCUGCUUGAUAUGGUUAACUGGAUGGUUUAGUGAUCUGCUGUGGAGGGCUUGCACCCGCCGCCUCUUCUUCCUCUCUCUGCUUCCUUGCCCACCCCUCGUCGCACAUAAGAGCGGCGGCGGUAGUGGAUCUGCGAGAAACAUCGGAAGGCAGGACGUGGGACAGAGCAGAUUGGCGGCGGGAUGCUCCGGAAGGAGCACGAGGCAGAGCGGAUUCGUGCGACGUCACGUCGUGGAAGGAGGCGGGACGACUCGCCUCCUCGCCAUAAUCGCAGCUCCCGUCCGUUCUCGCCACGUCUCCGUCGAUUCCCCCAAUUUUGAGCCACCAAGGCCAUGGACCGGGACCUGUGUGUUCAUUUGAAGACAAGAAAGUGAAAGGGGCGCUUACCUACUUGGCACCGCCGAGCUUCCGCCAGCAAUGGAGGUGAUUGUCUGCUCUCGGUUUCAUGGCGCCAAUGGAGGUGGGUGUGAAGUGAGCACACAAUUGUUCAACGUUGCUGGAUAGGUUCUUCCUGGUCGUCUUCUUUUGUUGAGGCCCGACGUUACAAUCGUGUUAAGAACCAAUUUGGAACUUCCUAUUUCAAUGCAUAACUUCUGAGACUAACCGGGACACCAAAAACGUGGAUUGAAGAGAAGGGGGGCCUCGUCUUUUUCACAGCUCCCGAAAACAGCGUUGCUCCUACAGUGGAUGUCUCGGGCGUGGCUGGAGCUGCUGUGGUCGCAAGUUCAACUCCACAAGAGGGUAGCAGUACAGCAGUGGAGCAGCCAAAACUGACUGGUUCUAGAAGGAAGCGUAUAUUAGAUGUAUGGGAUUAUUUUAAGACAGAACUAAUCAAUGGGAAAUGGCAGGCAAUAUGCAACUGGUGUCAUAAGUCAUAUGCCGGAGAAUCAACCUCUGGUACGUCACACUUAAGGACUCAUUGUAAUAAUUGUCCGGCUCGGCAUGCACCAGUGGGUCCACAACAAAGCAAAUUAAAGUUAUCAAAAUGUGUUGAUGGGAAAGUAAAUUUGGAGACUUAUGUUUUUGAUCAAGAACUUGCUAGAAAGGAACUUGCAUUGAUGAUAUGUGUGCAUGAGUACCCUCUGUCUAUUGUUGAUCAUGCUGGAUUCCGAAAAUUUUGUGGUACUUUGCAACCAAUGUUCAAGGUGGUGUCUAGAAAUACCAUUAGGCAGGACAUCAUAAAUAUGUUUGGUGUCCAAAAGAAUAGCAUGGUGAAGUACUUUGCAAAGUUUGAGAACCGAGUAGCCAUCACAACAGAUUUGUGGACGGCUGGCCAUCAAAAGAGGGGCUAUAUGGCUGUAACUGCACAUUAUAUUGAUGCUUCUUGGAACCUAAAGAGCUUCCUAAUGAGCUAACCAUGUCUCUAUCUAAAUCAUUGUUAUUCUGAAAUAGAUGUAUUGAUUAUUGUUACUCUG
This 2250-nucleotide ribosomal RNA is filed under the name Triticum aestivum (bread wheat). RNAcentral's name for it is "partial small subunit ribosomal RNA". The record is from RNAcentral. Lineage: Eukaryota; Viridiplantae; Streptophyta; Magnoliopsida; Poales; Poaceae.